RNAcentral lists this unclassified non-coding RNA (425 nucleotides) under Hevea brasiliensis (rubber tree). The record is from RNAcentral. Lineage: Eukaryota; Viridiplantae; Streptophyta; Magnoliopsida; Malpighiales; Euphorbiaceae.
GCAUCAAGUUGCUUGGCAUGUUCAAGCUCUUUCUUGGCGAGUUUUCGAGGAAGGUUCAUGACAGUGCAGAAGGGGCAGGCAACAACGGCAACAAGGGCAUGAGUUGCUAUUGCCGCGGCAGCUAUAGUGACAGUUACAGCAGAGCCAAUGACGCAAAGCACAGAGGCAGUAGUGGCUCGGCGAACUAGGCUGACUCUAGAGCGGGACUUGCGAAGUCGGUGAUCUAGUUGCUGCCUGAGUUGCGAAAAGCUGUGGCGGAUAUCCUGGAAGUUAUGAGAAUCCGGGCAAGGGAAAGGAUUGUCACAACGAUCAAAUUGGAGAAAGAUCUCAUAGGCGUAAUUGCAUUGGGAUUGAGUAAGGUAGUCUGAGUCUAGAGGAAGGACUUCAAGGAGCUUAUGGAGAGGAUCAUACAGAGCACGGGCACG